This 253-nucleotide ribosomal RNA is filed under the name uncultured bacterium. Its description in RNAcentral is "partial 16S ribosomal RNA". It matches the Rfam family "Bacterial small subunit ribosomal RNA", at positions 524 to 776 of the family's 1533-position model. The record is from RNAcentral.
UACGUAGGUGGCAAGCGUUGUCCGGAUUUACUGGGUGUAAAGGGCGUGUAGGCGGGUUAGUAAGUCAGAUGUGAAAUACCGGGGCUCAACUCCGGGGCUGCAUUUGAAACUGCCAAUCUUGAGUGCUGGAGAGGAAAGCGGAAUUCCUAGUGUAGCGGUGAAAUGCGUAGAUAUUAGGAGGAACACCGGUGGCGAAGGCGGCUUUCUGGACAGUAACUGACGCUGAGGCGCGAAAGCGUGGGGAGCAAACAGG